UACUGGGAGGACAACCCUGAAGUCAUUUGAAGUGUCAAGUAAGUGAGUCGUAGAUUUUGCUACGUCAUACCUGGUGAACAUUUGAUAAGUUGAACCUUCGGUCAAGAUAAUAUUUAGAGUUUUAUUCGCUCAGUCAUUUUCUAUUACUCUCUUUUUCAUAAACCAUUGACAUGAGCCAUUCGAAAUUUUUAUUUGAUUUUUCCUGAAAGACUAGAACCAAAUAUCCCCAUCCUAUCAGACUUUUCAUCUUGACCACGAUAUUUAGCUUGACUUGUUUUCAUGAUUAACACACGAGUAGAGCCCGCGCUGUUCUUACUUUGUAAAUUUUCGACGCAUGCUAGGACUCGCGUGACCAUAGGAUUUUGGUUUACUUAAACUUGAAAAACUCAUUGGUUUUCCUAGAAUUAGAAUUUUUCUGAGUCACAUUUAUUUAUUUUAUUCAAAACUCCUCUCUCACUUUUGGCCAAAAUUAGAACCUAAACCCAUUACCCCCACGGUUGAAAUCGAAAUUGUUUCAUCUCAAUUCAUGAGAAUAAACGAUACCAGUGCAACCAAAAUUAAUGUAGUCGGAAAUCCUUUCGACUUACAAAUAUUUUUGAUGCUUCAAAACUCC
Molecule: long non-coding RNA, 613 nt
Filed under: Setaria viridis
Lineage: Eukaryota; Viridiplantae; Streptophyta; Magnoliopsida; Poales; Poaceae
Description: long non-coding RNA (SVIR_LNC002835)
Source: RNAcentral